GCAUUUGUAGUCCAACGAUUAUGAUAAAUGCCUUUCAAGUAAUAUACCCGAGUUCGACUCCCGACAUAUGCA
Dovyalis caffra is the source of this 72-nucleotide non-coding RNA. NCBI's taxonomy places the organism in Eukaryota, Viridiplantae, Streptophyta, Magnoliopsida, Malpighiales, Salicaceae. The record is from the annotation of a GenBank genome assembly.